GGAAUUCCAUGAUUGAAGAAAUCUUGGAAAGACUAUUAUAUAAAUCUGAAAAUGUCCACUCUAUCAAAUGUCUUCACAACUAAGCAAGAUCCAGAAUUAAUGCCAGGAUUGUUGACCCAAAGAGGAUAGAGCAGGACCAGACAAUAUCAUUAUCAUCCACCAAAUGAAACAUUAAGCAUCAAUAAAGCAAGGAGAGAGAGAGUCCAUUGUGACUGCUAGCUGCGCAGUAUGAUAUUUAUUUCGUUUGCAAUAGAAAGGAGCACCAGCCAAGCACCCUAAAUGAAUAAGAAUUAAUGGGACAACAGAGGGAAUCCAUGAUUCUUAUUCAACCGAGUUGAAGCCAACAUUGGGGUCUAAAGUUUUUAAUUUGAGCAUCGACUCUACACAAAUACUGGCCCACUGACAUAAUUAUGGGUCGAGAAAUUGGCAUCUCUUCGGAUCUUUUUUUCCCCCUUAAAAGGUUUUAUUUAUUUUUAUUUAUUUAAUGAGAAGUUGGAUAAAUUUGAAAGGAAAAUGAUACUUAUAUCGAAAACUAAAAGUAAUUCGAUGAUUUUUUUAGAGGUUUUCUACCAUUCAUUUAAAUUAUUAUAAUCUUAAACCAUCCAUCUAUGUA
Molecule: long non-coding RNA, 613 nt
Organism: Quercus robur (English oak)
Lineage: Eukaryota; Viridiplantae; Streptophyta; Magnoliopsida; Fagales; Fagaceae
Exons: 2
Source: RefSeq, a predicted model, not a curated record